Lagenorhynchus albirostris (white-beaked dolphin) is the source of this 1335-nucleotide long non-coding RNA. RefSeq lists it as uncharacterized. The transcript is spliced from 2 exons. Lineage: Eukaryota; Metazoa; Chordata; Mammalia; Artiodactyla; Delphinidae. The record is from RefSeq and is a predicted model, not a curated record.
CUCACCGGAUAUGGAAAAUUUGAUUUAAUAUAUUAACAGGAGCAACAAGAACUUGUUUUAAUGCUUUUUUUCUUCCCUCUCUCUGAGAAUUUAGCCUUUCUUGAGGCCAUUGGGCUAUUUCCUUUCCAAGGCUGGAAAAGACUGAUUAUAGUUCAUGUCUGCAGCAAAGUCUCCCCCAAGCCCAUUGCAGUUGGAAGCAGCCCAAAACAAUGCAUGUUAAUCUUUUGUUACCCUACGGAAUCAAGGACUUUUCUUGGUCAUGUAUGUGGGCCAAGGCAGGCCACUGGAAAUUGCUGAUCAUUCUUGCUUCUCAUCAUUUGGAUCCCAAAGUCGUUGACUUAAAAUGGGUGGCUGAGGUUUUAGUGAAACUGGGUUUUACUCAUAGUGCCCCUUCCUUGAGGUACUAUUUCUUCCAUUCUUUUCCUUUCUAACAAAUACAUCCAUUGGCCAUGCUAAGUUUAUUUGCAUCCUGGCAAGUCUUGGAGAGUCAGUUUAGUUAAAGUGAUGAUUGUAUUUUAUUUGCCUUUGGAGAAGAGGCUUAUCAUCUAAGUAAAGUUCUUAUGUAAAGGUGUGUUUUAUGCAAAAAAAAAAAAAUCCACAAAAACAGAUUCUAAAUUUGGUAAGAUAGUCCCAGAGUAGGGGGAUGUAUUCUCAGUUAAUAUUAAGGGAUGUGUUGAAAAGGCAAGUGCCCUCCCUUUCUGUAUUCCCCAGCCCACCCUUCCUUCCUCCCUAACCUCAAAAGAAAACAGAAAAUUAUUUUUUUAAAUUGUAUUAAUAAUUUAUGUUUAAUACAAAAGGAUGAUUUAAUGGUAUCACCAAAGGUCAUUCUCCCAUUGUGCAUGUCCUUCACUCUUGGCCCUGUACCCAUCACCCCGUUCUUCACCCUCACACUUCCAUCCCAAGGCAACGUGUCUUCAUUGGAAUCUAUCAGUGUUGGAGUUCAAUGUGGGGACGGAGGUUUAACACCAUGACACUAAUGGAAACCAACCAUUCUUCACUUUCAAAUGGUUAAUUACUCCAAGAAGGCAAACUCUUUUCUUGGUUUUUGCUUAAAAACAUUUUAUACAUAUAUAUGUAUAUAUGUGUGUGUAUGUAUGGACAUAUGUAUGUAUAUGCACAUGUACAUGUAUAUAUGUAUAUAUCCAUCUCCAAUAUAAAUAUAGCAUAUGUGAGAGUUGUAAAUACUCCUUGGUCAUACUUCUGUCUUCCUCAUGCUAUCAUAUCUUCUGUGUUAUGUUAACAACUCCAUUUAUUGACUGAUGAAAUCGUGUGUAGACCUGUAUCCUCCUGACAUAGUUUAUGUAGGGUAUCUUCUCAAAUAAAGUAUAAAACAUC